RNAcentral lists this unclassified non-coding RNA (479 nucleotides) under uncultured fungus. Its description in RNAcentral is "partial contains small subunit ribosomal RNA, internal transcribed spacer 1, and 5.8S ribosomal RNA". The stretch from base 1 to 73 matches the Rfam family "Eukaryotic small subunit ribosomal RNA", at positions 1759 to 1831 of the family's 1831-position model. The record is from RNAcentral. Lineage: Eukaryota; Fungi.
CCAAACUUGGUCAUUUAGAGGAAGUAAAAGUCGUAACAAGGUUUCCGUAGGUGAACCUGCGGAAGGAUCAUUAGUGAUUGCCUUAAUUGGCUUAAACUAUAUCCAUCUACACCUGUGAACUGUUUGAUUGAAUCUAACGAUUCAAUUUUUACAAACAUUGUGUAAUGAACGUCAUUAGAUCAUAACAUGAAAAAACUUUCAACAACGGAUCUCUUGGCUCUCGCAUCGAUGAAGCACGCAAACUUUCUCUUUUAGAGGAAGUAAAAGUCGUAACAAGGUUUCCGUAGGUGAACCUGCGGAAGGAUCAUUAGUGAUUGCCUUAAUUGGCUUAAACUAUAUCCAUCUACACCUGUGAACUGUUUGAUUGAAUCUAACGAUUCAAUUUUUACAAACAUUGUGUAAUGAACGUCAUUAGAUCAUAACAUGAAAAAACUUUCAACAACGGAUCUCUUGGCUCUCGCAUCGAUGAAGAACGCAGC